GUGCAGGCUUCCGUAGCGCGUGCGGGUUUGUAGCCACGUGCGGAGCGGUGACGCAUACCAGCGUCGCGCCUUGCAUGUUUUCGGGGACUAGAGGCGUUGACGGAUCUCGUGGGAACCUGGUUCGAAAAAGGAUUUGUGCACCAUAAAGAUAAGGGUGUCUGGCUGCAGUUUCCCGCCGGAGACCUCUUGCUCAGGUUGGACGCUUGUGCACUUCGCGAUGAAGUUCUGCAGUGUACCCGUGCAGGAAAUAGCAUAUGGGCAAAGUGGACUCCUUUGUGGAAGUGCGACUCGAGUUUGAUGAAGCUGAAGAACCAUAUGACAAGAAAUUUAGUGCGCGGGUCAGCAGUUGGAGCAGAUUUUUGGGUACGGCACGGGCCGGACUCCUGGUUGUUCCCGGCACCGUGUGUCAGUGAUAACAGCGGCACGCUUCGUGCGUACGUGAAUUGCACCCCUUGCUGCCGGUAGCACCCUCACGGAUUUCGAAGACUGACACCGCAGAGUAUGGAACGGAAAAUUUAUUUUUGCCCUGUCUAGUGACAGUGCGAGCUGGCUAUUCCGGCUACUUGAGCAGACUGGUACCGCUGCCGCUGUCUACCUGAAAAACAGGAAUUUGUAUCCGGUAGACUCGUUGGCUAUUGCACUGCAAUUUGCUCCGGCUGAUUCCAGCGCUCAGGAACGACGCGCGCUGUAUACGGGAAGCAAGCCGGAGAACAAGACCUUUUUCAACACUAAGUGACGCUCGAGUUCAGCUUCUUGAAACGCCUCAGGGCGCGCGUGAAGGCCCGAGAACGUCACGUUUCGAGAAACGCCAUCGAUGGCUCCAUUACUGAUGAGAUUUCUCCUGGUGAACGAACCGUGAAUAUGUUGGAGUUUCUCCGGAGCCGCUUUUAUCGUUGGUGGACACGGUAUUAUUGUACAACUGCACCGCAAACCUUUUCACGUUGCACGUCCUCCCGAGCAAUGCACUCCUUGGGUACUAAGGUUGCAUUGCUCGUGCAACGCUGUGGCGGUGACGUGUACUGCACGUGCAUGCUCACGUACUAGUUACGUCACCAAUGACGCAGUGCGCAAACAGGACUGCUUUUUGUUGCCUUUGCGUGCGUUGGCUCCAGAUGUAGAACAUCAGGCUCCGGGUCGAUACGCGCUAUGCGCAUAUAGGCCUGCUGGAGGAGGCACAGAACAGUACGCUGUGAGCGUUCGAUAACAAGGACAGCAUGGGCGAUCAUUCGAUGUGAAUGCAGCGGACUGUGCUUGGAUCGUGCCUCGCUGGACGGUAACAAGGCGUCUACAGAAGAGAUGUCUGCCUGGAUGCGAUGUCACUGCAGACCGGCAAUGCAAUCGCUCGACAUCAAGACUUGCUGCGUUGGCGUGAUCCGUCCCUGUGAUCUGUUGGUACGCUCCGAGCGUGCGGGUCUGGUCUCGUGUUUGCAUCGCUUUCCUCGAAAGAGCAUAGCGACGCUCUAGGCCAACAGGCCAUGUUUCCGAUAUCCUCUGGUUGGAAAGCGAAUGCAUAAGAUGCUCCUGGUCGCUACUUUGAGCGAUGAUUUUUGAUUGGGUCCAAAGCAUCGAUCGACAGCGGCGGCAGGAGGAGACGUUGCGUGUGUUUGCGGUUCGGAGAUCGUCCUCAUGAAGCGCAUAAAGUGCGCCCUGAAGCAUCUUCUCAGCUGUCACAUGCACUGCUUUGGUGCGACGUGCACCAGAUGGAGUCUCUGUGCGCGCUCACGACACCAGCUCAUGCCGCAAACUGGCUGUAACAUUCGGUUAUUUGUAAUGAAAACGUCACCGGCUUCAUUCCGAAUGACUGCAUGUCGUG
This is an RNA transcript of Cyanidioschyzon merolae strain 10D, 1813 nucleotides long. RefSeq lists it as hypothetical. The transcript has a single exon. The record is from RefSeq and is a predicted model, not a curated record. NCBI's taxonomy places the organism in Eukaryota, Rhodophyta, Bangiophyceae, Cyanidiales, Cyanidiaceae.